Long non-coding RNA from Zeugodacus cucurbitae (melon fly), 2293 nucleotides. RefSeq lists it as uncharacterized. The transcript is spliced from 6 exons. NCBI's taxonomy places the organism in Eukaryota, Metazoa, Arthropoda, Insecta, Diptera, Tephritidae. The record is from RefSeq and is a predicted model, not a curated record.
UGGAUUAAAAAAGGCAAUAUUAACGUAACCAAAGUUAACGAAAAAAUAUUAUUUCUCUCCAAUUUAGUUCCUUCAGAAUUCGGUCGAAUAUGUAAAAGUUUAGAUGAAAUUAGUAAUUGGAAAGCGACAGAGUUUAGGCAGUUUUUAUUGUAUAUAGGUAUAUUUGUUCUAAAUGAUUGUAUCAGCAGUGACCAUUACUACCACUUUUUAUUAUUACAUGCAGUAAUAAGGCUGUUAUCAUGUGAAAAUUCAUAUAGAACUGAAGCUAACGUUGCCCAACAAAUCUUACAAGAAUUCGUUGAUUUGUUUGGGAAUAUAUACGGAGACCAUUUAGUUAGUUAUAACGUGCAUGGUUUACUGCAUUUAACUGACUGCACUAAGCAAUUCGGCCCUCUAGAAAACUUAUACAUAAACCGAAUAAAAUCCUUCAGCAAUUACAUUUAAGGCUUGAUGAAAGAACUAAUAAAAACAUUGAACCCAACAAAACUUUAAAAAUUAAUAUGUUUAAUGUAGAUAAUAAAAAAGAAAAAGAUUCUUAUUGUUUUAGUGAAAAACUAGGCCCUAUAAAAAUAAUAGGAAUGACAGACGAAUCUGGUUGUGUUAUAGUAUCUGCACAUUGUUUUUUAGAUGUUGAAAACUACUUUGACGAGCCUUUAGAAUCGUCAUCUGGUUUAGGUAUUUUAGUAGCGAAGAGAUUAGAUAAAAAUGUAUUUAAAAUUAAAAAAGACGACAUAGUUUACAAAUAUUUAUCUAUUCCACAUGAGGGCAAGUUUCUUCUUAUACCAAUUCUACAUCAUUUAUUUCAUAAAUUUUCAAAUUAGGUUUUUAAAGUAUUUAUGUACAUAUAUUUUUCUCGGUUAAACUAAUAAUAUUGUGUAAUAACAUUUUCUUAAAUAUUUGAAAAAAUAAUUUUCAUUCUGCCAAUUUUUAUUUCUCAAUAAGAUGGAAAAUAUAUUUGACGAUAUUGACUUGAAGGACUGUCCAACAAUGUCUUUAACUCCCGCAAAAGAGCAAUUACAUUUGAAGCGAAGAAAGUUUAACACAUCUGGUUGCUACAAUGCAGAGGCAAGCAUUUCAAAACAACCUGUGGAAGGAAACGAGGUUAUUGACAUGUUAACCACUAUUUCUAUUUGACGAUUUAACGACGAGGGUAUGCAAUUUGGAAAGUAAAAUCGAUAAGCAUGUGAAAGAAAAUUGAAAGAAUGGCGCAAAAAAAAGAUCCGUGAAUGCAAGGUCCUCAUCCGCAAAAUUCAUCAAUCGGUAUGCCGAAUGACUGGUGAAGAAGUCGACAAUGUUCAAACCGAAAUCGCUUCCACCCUCCCAUUAAAUACGCUUGCUUCAGCUUUGGAAAUGGACGAAAAAUUGAUGCGACGAAUUUGCUGCAGCAACGAAACAAUUCGUUUUGCGACUAAAAGGUACUUCAGAUAGUGCACAUGAUGUGUUGCGUAGGCAGUACACUGAUGAACUUGUUUAUUUAUGUAACUGGGACGGUAGGGGUGGGAAGCAACCUCUCUCCAAAUUCCUACUAGUUUCCAACAUCUUAUACGAUUCAUUUAUAACUUAUGGAUUGGCAACAUUCGAAAAACAAGUUCGAAAAGCCAUUGGAAUUAGCCACCAUAGACACAAACAAAGGAUUUAUAGAAAGAGAAAAACUGACGAGUGAAUCAUAAUUUAUUAUUUAACAAUAAGUUAUAUGUAUCUAUUAUAUUACUAAACAUAAUUCUUUUAAUACACUAAAUUUUAAAUUUAAAGCAAUGUGAAGUAUGAAUUGAAUUGAAAAUAACAAGUUAACAAUGAAUUAUUUAUUUAAAUUUAAAGUACAAUGCAAUUUUUGUUAAAAAUUAUCUGACAAAAAAAUUAAAUAUGAAAAAAAAAAAUCUUUUAUUUUGAGAUUCGAACAUGAGCCUCACGGAUUACCCAGCCGUGUGUUUAACCACUUGGCUAAUAUAGCAUGUAUCGACGCGCUUUCCUAAAACAGUUUUCUCCACUUGCCUUUAAUUUCAACAAAGUGUGAGAAGGGAGGAUAUAGUUUUAUUGUAGCAGAAAACGUAUGCUCCAGAAGGUGACAAAAAAUCACAUGUAUACAAAAGUUUUGGGAGGUUUUUUGAUUUGCCCUUAAGAACGUGAUAGGAAAGUGUGACAAUUAAACCGGCACGCGUUACCGGCAUGCCACUAGGUAACAUGACCGUCACUGUUCUAACAGGGUGUGUCUCAUAUAAAUGUAUCUGAGUUGCAUCCCAGCAAAACCUGCGUGACCGAAACUCCCACACAUUUACACAAUUUUUGCUUAUUA